RNAcentral lists this unclassified non-coding RNA (527 nucleotides) under Hevea brasiliensis (rubber tree). The record is from RNAcentral. Lineage: Eukaryota; Viridiplantae; Streptophyta; Magnoliopsida; Malpighiales; Euphorbiaceae.
GGAAUUAUGAGAAGACCAUAAGAGGGUAAACACAACCUAUCUAAUACCUCUUCCUUUUUAUUUAUUUUUUUAGUCCCAUGCUCCCUUAACAGGGUGAUAUUGAGGAAAAUAUCUUGUGAAUGCAUUAUUUCACUAAAAGAGUUACAAAGAGAUAUAUAUGAUGUUUACUUGUUUAGGUAGCAUAUGCUUCUGCUCAAUAAAAAAAUUGGGCCUUAAGUUUGCCAAAGGAAUGUCCAUUUUCUAGAUGGGUGCCGAGGGUGAAGAACCAAAAACAUUAUUGCUUUCAUUUUUUUGCUUGUUCAUUGCGAACUAGGAAUCUAACUGAAUCCCAUUUACCCUGUUACUACAGAAGGAAAAACCCCAAUGCCCAAGGCCACAUGCUGUCUGUAUCCUUACAGUACGCAUGCUUGAGUUUAUUGGGAUAUAAAGACAUUCGCAACUAGAUAAGAUUUCACUAGGUUUAUACUUUCUAGACAGAAUAACUUCAGAAAGAAAAGAAAAGAAAAGAAACUGUGUGAAAGAGAAGG